Molecule: ribosomal RNA, 253 nt
Filed under: uncultured bacterium
Lineage: Bacteria
Description: partial 16S ribosomal RNA
Rfam family: Bacterial small subunit ribosomal RNA
Source: RNAcentral
UACAGAGGUCUCAAGCGUUGUUCGGAUUCAUUGGGCGUAAAGGGCGCGUAGGCGGCGGGGUAAGUCGGGUGUGAAAUCUCAGAGCUCAACUCUGAAACUGCACUCGAUACUACUCUGCUUGAGGACUGGAGAGGAGACUGGAAUUCACGGUGUAGCAGUGAAAUGCGUAGAUAUCGUGAGGAAGACCAGUGGCGAAGGCGGGUCUCUGGACAGUUCCUGACGCUGAGGCGCGAAGGCCAGGGGAGCAAACGGG